RNAcentral lists this unclassified non-coding RNA (272 nucleotides) under Hevea brasiliensis (rubber tree). The record is from RNAcentral. Lineage: Eukaryota; Viridiplantae; Streptophyta; Magnoliopsida; Malpighiales; Euphorbiaceae.
AGCCUUUUACCAAACAUUUAUUUACAUACUACAAACCACAUGCCAACAAGUCCUUCAAAUUGAUUCAGUCAAACCAUCCACAACAUGCACUGAAUUCUACAUCCAGAAGAAAAAAAUGNNNNNNAAUGGAUUUACUCACAGCAAAGCAUAUCUGCUUUGCUCCAAUUUCAUCGAAUUGCUCCAAGCAAAUUGGCACCAUCAAGCUUUGUAUUUUCCAAAUGUGUGUUCUGAAGAUUGACUUGUCGUAGAUAAGCCCGUUGAAGAUUUGCACC